RNAcentral lists this ribosomal RNA (1324 nucleotides) under Bacillus sp. (in: firmicutes). RNAcentral describes it as "bacterial SSU rRNA". It matches the Rfam family "Bacterial small subunit ribosomal RNA", at positions 100 to 1407 of the family's 1533-position model. The record is from RNAcentral. Lineage: Bacteria; Bacillati; Bacillota; Bacilli; Caryophanales; Bacillaceae.
GACGGGUGAGUAACACGUGGGCAACCUGCCUGUAAGAUCGGGAUAACGCCGGGAAACCGGGGCUAAUACCGGAUAGUUUUUUCCUCCGCAUGGAGGAAAAAGGAAAGACGGCUUCUGCUGUCACUUACAGAUGGGCCCGCGGCGCAUUAGCUAGUUGGUGGGGUAACGGCUCACCAAGGCAACGAUGCGUAGCCGACCUGAGAGGGUGAUCGGCCACAUUGGGACUGAGACACGGCCCAAACUCCUACGGGAGGCAGCAGUAGGGAAUCUUCCGCAAUGGACGAAAGUCUGACGGAGCAACGCCGCGUGAGUGAAGAAGGCCUUCGGGUCGUAAAACUCUGUUGCCGGGGAAGAACAAGUGCCGUUCGAACAGGGCGGCGCCUUGACGGUACCCGGCCAGAAAGCCACGGCUAACUACGUGCCAGCAGCCGCGGUAAUACGUAGGUGGCAAGCGUUGUCCGGAAUUAUUGGGCGUAAAGCGCGCGCAGGCGGCUUCUUAAGUCUGAUGUGAAAUCUUGCGGCUCAACCGCAAGCGGUCAUUGGAAACUGGGAGGCUUGAGUGCAGAAGAGGAGAGUGGAAUUCCACGUGUAGCGGUGAAAUGCGUAGAGAUGUGGAGGAACACCAGUGGCGAAGGCGGCUCUCUGGUCUGUAACUGACGCUGAGGCGCGAAAGCGUGGGGAGCAAACAGGAUUAGAUACCCUGGUAGUCCACGCCGUAAACGAUGAGUGCUAAGUGUUAGAGGGUUUCCGCCCUUUAGUGCUGCAGCUAACGCAUUAAGCACUCCGCCUGGGGGAGUACGGCCGCAAGGCUGAAACUCAAAGGAAUUGACGGGGGCCCGCACAAGCGGUGGAACAUGUUGGUUUAAUUCGAAGCAACGCGAAGAACCUUACCAGGUCUUGACAUCCUCUGAUCUCCCUGGAGACAGGGCCUUCCCCUUCGGGGGACAGAGUGACAGGUGGUGCAUGGUUGUCGUCAGCUCGUGUCGUGAGAUGUUGGGUUAAGUCCCGCAACGAGCGCAACCCUUGACCUUAGUUGCCAGCAUUGAGUUGGGCACUCUAAGGUGACUGCCGGUGACAAACCGGAGGAAGGUGGGGAUGACGUCAAAUCAUCAUGCCCCUUAUGACCUGGGCUACACACGUGCUACAAUGGAUGGUACAAAGGGCUGCGAGACCGCGAGGUUAAGCCAAUCCCAGAAAACCAUUCCCAGUUCGGAUUGCAGGCUGCAACCCGCCUGCAUGAAGCCGGAAUCGCUAGUAAUCGCGGAUCAGCAUGCCGCGGUGAAUACGUUCCCGGGCCUUGUACACACCGCCCGUCACACCACGA